UAGGGAAUCUUCCACAAUGGACGCAAGUCUGAUGGAGCAACGCCGCGUGAGUGAAGAAGGCUUUCGGGUCGUAAAACUCUGUUAUUGAAGAAGAACGUGUGUGACAGUAACUGGUCAUGCAGUGACGGUAUUCAAUCAGAAAGUCACGGCUAACUACGUGCCAGCAGCCGCGGUAAUACGUAGGUGGCAAGCGUUGUCCGGAUUUAUUGGGCGUAAAGCGAGUGCAGGCGGUCUUUUAAGUCUGAUGUGAAAGCCUUCGGCUUAACCGAAGAAGGGCAUCGGAAACUGGGGAGACUUGAGUGCAGAAGAGGAGAGUGGAACUCCAUGUGUAGCGGUGAAAUGCGUAGAUAUAUGGAGGAACACCAGUGGCGAAGGCGGCUCUCUGGUCUGUAACUGACGCUGAGGCUCGAAAGCGUGGGUAGCAAACAGGAUUAGAUACCCUGGU
This 445-nucleotide ribosomal RNA is filed under the name uncultured bacterium. Its description in RNAcentral is "partial 16S ribosomal RNA". It matches the Rfam family "Bacterial small subunit ribosomal RNA", at positions 355 to 791 of the family's 1533-position model. The record is from RNAcentral.